Molecule: ribosomal RNA, 467 nt
Filed under: uncultured bacterium
Lineage: Bacteria
Description: partial 16S ribosomal RNA
Rfam family: Bacterial small subunit ribosomal RNA
Source: RNAcentral
ACGAACGCUGGCGGCGUGCUUAACACAUGCAAGUCGAACGGAAAGGCCCUGCUUUUGUGGGGUGCUCGAGUGGCGAACGGGUGAGUAACACGUGAGUAACCUGCCCUUGACUUUGGGAUAACUUCAGGAAACUGGGGCUAAUACCGGAUAGGAGCUCCUGCUGCAUGGUGGGGGUUGGAAAGUUUCGGCGGUUGGGGAUGGACUCGCGGCUUAUCAGCUUGUUGGUGGGGUAGUGGCUUACCAAGGGUUUGACGGGUAGCCGGCCUGAGAGGGUGACCGGCCACAUUGGGACUGAGAUACGGCCCAGACUCCUACGGGAGGCAGCAGUGGGGAAUAUUGCACAAUGGGCGGAAGCCUGAUGCAGCAACGCCGCGUGCGGGUUGACGGCCUUCGGGUUGUAAACCGCUUUCGCCUGUGACGAAGCGUGAGUGACGGUAAUGGGUAAAGAAGCACCGGCUAACUACGUG